GGACUGAUUUCCAUCACGUAUCAGAAGGAAUGAGAAAUAUUUGAGUAAAGAGGAAAGAGGAGGAAAAUGUCUCUGGUCAUGAACUUCAACUGAACUUUCUCCAAGAACUUUCCUGUGGCAAAAGUUCAGAGGCACUUUCAAGCAGUGAUUGGAAGCCACUGGGGAAGAGCAAAGAGACACUGAGACCUGCGCUCUUUGUCAUGCCAGAUACACUCUCAGGAGUAUUGUGACAAAUUCAGUGUGGAGGCAGCUCUGGUCCUUUCCAACCUGCACAAAAGACCUCGAGGAGAAUUCAGCCGUGCCAAGGGAAGGCAGCUCAGAACUCUCAGACCUGGGAGAGCAUAACAGAAGGGGUCUGCUGUUGCCCCUCGCUGGAAGCUGCGCGACGGAGCGUGGACAUGCGGGGCCGGGGACAGCGGGGACACGGCGCGGGGACAUCCCCCGCCGGGCGAACACCGCCACCGACAGCUGCGGGAAUACACGGGGAAGCCCCGAGCCCCGGGCAGCUCCGCGUGCUGCCAGUACCGCUCCGCUGCCGAGUAGAGGCUGCGGGCACAGCGCGGGGCAGCUCCCAGCUGACCCCAUCCCGUUGCAGGCAGUAGCGAGAAGCGGCACGCACUUCUCAUCAGUGCGGUGGUACGAAGGAACUGAUGCUGCCCGGCACCGCCGCCCGACACCCGACCCGUCUCAGGGUCGUCGACGCCGAGACUCUUCCGAAGCCGAGACUUUACGAGACGCCGGUACCGCUUCCCUCCCUCGACUACUCCCAGUUACGACGCUGUUGCGCUGCGCAUCCUCCGCUUUCCCCGUGGCUCCGGUGGGAGCGGUGGUCGGGUCGCUUCCCGGGAGCUCCUCUCCAAUUGCCCCGGUGUCACGGAGGGACCGAACGUGGCACCUCGAGAGUCGUAGGCAGAAGCGGGCGUUUUCUGCCGUCAGCAGGGCACGUUUCAGAACAGCGGGGCCAGGAGAAGGGAACUCUGGAGCGGCCACCAGCACUGGGACCAGGCGGUUGAGCUGCAUGGCCUCGUGCUGCAGAACACUGCGAGACUUUUGAGAAGUUCCCUGUGGUUUUCUUUUAGCAAAACCGAUGCAGAAAUUUAUCAUUUCGCUCAGUACUCGCUGGUCAUCUGAGUCUAUGCAACUGAAUAGCAAAUGAAGGGGUUGUUAUUUCAAAGAAGGUGGUUUGAGGUCACUAAGUGGGACCGUGAUGGAUUGGGUUUUUUUGGUUUUUUGUGGUUUUUUUUUCGUUGUUGGUUUUGUGUGUGUGUGUAUGUGUGUUUUGUUCUGUUUUCUGUUUUUGAUUCAUGUUUUUCACUCUUUGCCCUCCAUCACUUUGUGCUGCAAGUAGCCAUAUGGUCAGGCCACACAUGGCAAUGUGCAGCCUCUUUGGAGCAAAGCUUUGCUCUGACCAAUACAUCCACCCUGAACCACCCAGGCAAUCUGAUGUCCUGGGAGAUGGGAGAGUUCCAUGUUCCCCAGACUCAGAGUGUGAUGCAGUAGGUGCCUGGAUGGUCAGCUGAAAACACAGACACCAUUCCCAGGGCUGUACCAGAAAUAUGGAGAUAUGGCACUCAUUAGUGGGCAUCCUACUGAUGGCUCAGCGAUCGGACUUGAUCUUCUUAGAGGUCUCUUCCAAUCUUAGUGCUUACAUAUGAUUCUGUCACUUUAUACUGUCGCUGCAACACUUUCCUGCAGCUUUUGCACUGGUGCAGGUAAGGGUGUGGGCAGAGGUUGUGGGUCCUCAUGGCUCAGGACUCUUUGGUUUCCAGCAGCCCCAGUUCCAGGGUGCCCUCAGAUGUGGGCUUGCACACACAUGGCUUCAAGGUCUUCAGCCAGCAUGCUGGUGAGGGACCUGUGUUCUCUUUGGUAUUGCAUUUAUUACCACUUCUUUCAAAUACUGACAGCAGAGCACUUUUGUGAAACUGCCCAGAUUUUGGUGAUGCUCAGAGAGAGAAGCCAACAGCUCCUGGACAAACACGUGAGCUGAAUGAAGUUUAAUCUCUGUAAGAACCUGCUGAAUGUAAUAUGAUUUUAUGGUUCACUUCCCUUUAUUU
RNAcentral lists this long non-coding RNA (2054 nucleotides) under Coturnix japonica (Japanese quail). RNAcentral's name for it is "lncRNA (ENSCJPG00005006011.1)". Lineage: Eukaryota; Metazoa; Chordata; Aves; Galliformes; Phasianidae. The record is from RNAcentral.